UGAGAAAAGCAGGAGCGAGAGCUUCUCGCCUUACGACCUAGGUUGUCUGGCCCUACAUGUCAAAUUCCUAUGGAAUGUAAUGUGUGCGGGCUUGAAUUAUCAAGUCCGUUUUCGUUUUCUCUA
Molecule: non-coding RNA, 123 nt
Organism: Streptococcus phocae
Lineage: Bacteria; Bacillati; Bacillota; Bacilli; Lactobacillales; Streptococcaceae
Source: Rfam